CGUGUAGGCGGCCAGUCAAGUCAGAUGUGAAAUCCCUGAGCUUAACUCAGGAACUGCAUCUGAAACUGAUUGGCUCGAGUACAGGAGAGGAAGGUGGAAUUCCUGGUGUAGAGGUGAAAUUCGUAGAUAUCGGGAAGAACACCGGUGGCGAAGGCGGCCUUCUGGCCUGAUACUGACGCUGAGACGCGAAAGCGUGGGGAGCAAACAG
Molecule: ribosomal RNA, 208 nt
Filed under: uncultured bacterium
Lineage: Bacteria
Description: partial 16S ribosomal RNA
Rfam family: Bacterial small subunit ribosomal RNA
Source: RNAcentral